This 468-nucleotide ribosomal RNA is filed under the name uncultured bacterium. RNAcentral's name for it is "partial 16S ribosomal RNA". It matches the Rfam family "Bacterial small subunit ribosomal RNA", at positions 28 to 507 of the family's 1533-position model. The record is from RNAcentral.
GACGAACGCUGGCGGCGUGCUUAACACAUGCAAGUCGAACGGAAAGGCCCUGCUUUUGUGGGGUGCUCGAGUGGCGAACGGGUGAGUAACACGUGAGUAACCUGCCCUUGACUUUGGGAUAACUUCAGGAAACUGGGGCUAAUACCGGAUAGGAGCUCCUGCUGCAUGGUGGGGGUUGGAAAGUUUCGGCGGUUGGGGAUGGACUCGCGGCUUAUCAGCUUGUUGGUGGGGUAGUGGCUUACCAAGGCUUUGACGGGUAGCCGGCCUGAGAGGGUGACCGGCCACAAUGGGACUGAGAUACGGCCCAGACUCCUAUGGGAGGCAGCAGUGGGGAAUAUUGCACAAUGGGCGGAAGCCUGAUGCAGCAACGCCGCGUGCGGGAUGACGGCCUUCGGGUUGUAAACCGCUUUCGCCUGUGACGAAGCGUGAGUGACGGUAAUGGGUAAAGAAGCACCGGCUAACUACGUG